GUGACAUUGUAGCUCUGAACUUCCUAAUGUUACUUUUUUCUAUAAAAAGGCUGAAGGCAGAACAGUGUGAAGCUAGAUAAUCUUAACCAUUGGUACGGCUGGAGUUCCUUUUGGCAAUAGUAAAGAAGAUUGUGUGGGGCGGCUGCAGAUACAAAUGAGGGCAAGAUCUGACUCUACAAUUUGAACUUGUUUAAUAAUUCUGUUGGUGAUGUGUGAACAAGAAUAGAAUCCAGCUGCAUCCCCCACGGCAAUGUUGGCUCUGCGGUAGCAACAGAGGAAUAUCAUCACGGCAUCGUUCACCAAAUUCAUUGACCUUUAACAAGACCUCUUUUCAAGACCCAGGAGUCAUUAGUUCGAGACUGAAGAAUGCUCCAUUAUACCUGGACUUAUUUUUUUAAAUGAUCAAAAACCCCAUUUUGCUCCACUUCUUUUAUUUUCCUGCCUUUUAUUUAACAACUUUAUCAUAUUUUGAAUUCAGCUUCAUCCUACAGUAUUGUGGAAAAAUAAUGAACUCAAUCUUCUGCCUAAUAAAUCAUUAUCAGAAAUAUAUGUGUGUCCUAACAAAGCAAUCCAGUAGUUCACUAUGAGAGCUUUUGUACCACUCAUGGUAUUGCAGUAAAAAAAAAAAACCCUAAUGUGUCUAUAGGAAAGACAAUUUUAUCUGCCCCUAUUACUGUUCUCCUUUGUUACUUAUACACUGCUAGAUUAAAAGGGAUUAUUCUGCAUCUGAGUAAUGUCUGUAAGUGUUGAUCAUACAGACUUUUAUUUUGAAAUGAGAAGCAACAGAAUAUGCCAAACUGUUGCAAUGUAACUAUAAUUAAUUCCUAUAUUUAUUGAUGGAAUUACUAUGCCAAGGAAGGCGUAUUUCUCAUAAUCCUCUCUUUUCCCCUUUCCUAGUCCUUUUUACAUUAUUUUUCCACUUAUGCCCGAUGAGUAAUUUAUAUCGCCAUUUAUGUCACUGCUGAAUUUGGCCCAGAGUUUCAUGGCAGUUGCACAUGCUUACACACUAGGCUGUCUCCAACUGAAUUUGGCCUUCUCUCUUUUAUAAUCAUGCAAAGGCAGAAUCAAAGGCAAUUGCAGUCAAAGCUGUCAAACAAACACAUAAAACUAAAACUACUACAUAUGUCUUGUCCUGUGUUUGUACAGCACCUUGU
Molecule: long non-coding RNA, 1154 nt
Organism: Dermochelys coriacea (leatherback sea turtle)
Lineage: Eukaryota; Metazoa; Chordata; Testudines; Dermochelyidae
Exons: 4
Source: RefSeq, a predicted model, not a curated record